AAUCUGGCUGCUGCAUCUUUCCCUUUGUUGAUCGCUGGGGCUGAUAUGGCUGGCGAGGCUGGUGUUGCCUUCCUCUCCUGAAGUUGUGGGCUGGUUGAAGAGAACGACUUUCCCUGAAUGGAGGAGGACCAGUCUUCAGUCAAGGGGAUAUGAGCAUUAUCUUAGGGAUUAGGAUUUCAGUAUAAAAUUUAGAGGGGAAACAAACAUUUAUUAACUCGUUAUAAAUUCACAUCUUAUUUCUAACUACCUUGAAACUUGU
RNAcentral lists this small nuclear RNA (259 nucleotides) under Mesocricetus auratus (golden hamster). Its description in RNAcentral is "7SK RNA". It matches the Rfam family "7SK RNA". Rfam says of the family: 7SK was discovered as an abundant small nuclear RNA in the mid-70s but a possible function has only recently been suggested. Two independent studies have found that 7SK RNA binds the CDK9/cyclin T complex (known as elongation factor P-TEFb). Lineage: Eukaryota; Metazoa; Chordata; Mammalia; Rodentia; Cricetidae. The record is from Rfam by way of RNAcentral.